CAGCAGCCGCGGGAAUACGUAGGUGGCAAGCGUUGUCCGGAAUUAUUGGGCGUAAAGGGCUCGCAGGCGGUUUCUUAAGUCUGAUGCGAAAGCCCCCGGCUCAACCGGGGAGGGUCAUUGGAAACUGGGAAACUUGAGUGCAGAAGAGGAGAGUGGAAUUCCACGUGUAGCGGUGAAAUGCGUAGAGAUGUGGAGGAACACCAGUGGCAAAGGCGACUCUCUGGUCUGUAACUGACGCUGAGGAGCGAAAGCGUGGGGAGCGAACAGGAUUAGAUACCCGCGUAGUCCCUGUCUCUUAUAU
Molecule: ribosomal RNA, 301 nt
Filed under: uncultured bacterium
Lineage: Bacteria
Description: partial 16S ribosomal RNA
Rfam family: Bacterial small subunit ribosomal RNA
Source: RNAcentral